AAACAACUCUCAGCAACGGAUAUCUCGGCUCUUGCAACGAUGAAGAACGCAGCGAAAUGCGAUACGUAGUGUGAAUUGCAGAAUUCCGCGAAUCAUCGAGUCUUUGAACGCAAGUUGCGCCCGAGGCUUGACCAAGGGCAUCUCUGCCAGAGCGUCAC
RNAcentral lists this ribosomal RNA (158 nucleotides) under Ephemerum minutissimum. RNAcentral describes it as "5.8S ribosomal RNA". It matches the Rfam family "5.8S ribosomal RNA". From Rfam's summary of the family: 5.8S ribosomal RNA (5.8S rRNA) is a component of the large subunit of the eukaryotic ribosome. It is transcribed by RNA polymerase I as part of the 45S precursor that also contains 18S and 28S rRNA. Lineage: Eukaryota; Viridiplantae; Streptophyta; Bryopsida; Pottiales; Pottiaceae. The record is from RNAcentral.